This 238-nucleotide long non-coding RNA is filed under the name Trifolium pratense (red clover). RNAcentral's name for it is "long non-coding RNA (TPRA_LNC005041)". Lineage: Eukaryota; Viridiplantae; Streptophyta; Magnoliopsida; Fabales; Fabaceae. The record is from RNAcentral.
UCCUUGUCGCCUCUCGGUUCUGCGAUUUAAGGUUCUUUGUUAAGUUGUUUCCCUGUUUUUGCGAUGGUGUUUCUAUCACCAAUCUGAUUAGCGUCGUUCACAGUAUUGUCUCUGUCUCUCGUUAGGCUUGCAGCAGAGGCAAAACAUUCAAGGGGUUUUGCCAGGGUUAUUGGAAAUUAUAGCAAGAUAGCCACGGGGUCUUGCUAGGGAUUUGGGGUUGUCCCCGUUGUGAGAGUUG